This is a non-coding RNA of Aspergillus avenaceus, 87 nucleotides long. The record is from the annotation of a GenBank genome assembly. Lineage: Eukaryota; Fungi; Ascomycota; Eurotiomycetes; Eurotiales; Aspergillaceae.
GGGGCGGUAGCUCAGUGGAUAGAGUGGAAGAUUGCAAUCCCAAUUGCAAGCAUCUUUAGGUCGCCGGUUCGAUCCCGGCCCGUCCCU